RNAcentral lists this long non-coding RNA (1376 nucleotides) under Aquilegia coerulea. RNAcentral's name for it is "long non-coding RNA (ACOE_LNC002286)". The record is from RNAcentral. Lineage: Eukaryota; Viridiplantae; Streptophyta; Magnoliopsida; Ranunculales; Ranunculaceae.
AUUGUUACAACUUUUGCAUGGCUUCUUGAUAUUCAUGAUCUAGUUAUUGACAUUGUUGUCAGGGGGAUCAUUCAUAGGGUACGCGAUUACAUAAACCCGUGAAUCAGCUGAAAUGUGAUACAAUAGAAUGAAAAUGACUAAUAGACAAUCAUGCAUAUUGUUUGAAUCAAGAGGGAUGUGUGGUGUGUUUUCUUGUAUGAGCAAGUAUGGCAUGCUCUUGUUUGUCGUCAUAACUCAUAAGAAGAGUAUGCACUUAAGUUGAUCCAUUUUCGUCAAUACAUCCAACGCGAUAUCAGGCAUAAACUCAGAACUUUUUUCAUCAAAGAUAUCAAAGAUGUCAAUACAUCCAACGCGAUACCAAAUGGUUUCACAGCACAUAUAGGCAGGGGAGAAAGAUCGAGCGAGUUCAAUCUGAUAGUAUAUUUGUGAAUAGUGAUCAUACACCUAGCCAAUAGACCAGGGAUAUGAGAAGUCUGCAAUAGUGAAAUAUAAUGAUGAGAAAUAUCAUAACACCUAGCCUUAUCGACACAUUUAAGCUAAGCUAGCUUGUUUUUACAGAUGAAUAUUGCAAGUAUUUUAUGUUCUGAUGGUCGCUCGUUUUUUUUUUGUCUGUAAAUUUAUUCGACAGCAAGGUCUAAUCAACAUUAAAAAUUUAAUCGCACCUCAUUUGAUACAACUACUGCUUGGUCGUACCGAUGAUUUAAUCUUAAAUGUUUAACCUAGUUUAAAAAUAGUUCGAUGAAAAGGAUCUACUUUAUACAGACAUUUACUUGAAGUAUAUAAUUUACAGAUUGCACCCGGAGAGUCUUAAACUUUUUAAAUGCUGGCAAAAAAAUUAUCAGGUUGGAGUCAGAAUGAGAGAAUCCUACUGUCAGCAAUUUGAUAAUAUAUAUACCAGAGCAGUCAAUUUUCGAUUUUCAAUUAGACGCAAUCAGUAUGAUACCAGAACCAAGCUGUUUGAAUUAUUGUCGCUAAUUUAAGAACAUGGCAAAGUCAUCCAACAUGGUACAUGAGACGAAUGGCGUCUACCAUUUAUCUAACUUACGGAUUCUAUCCCCUGCAUCGUCAUUUCAUUUCCACCAUGUCAGCUUCCAUUAUGCUUCAUGCUUCAUGCAUAACCUGUUUUUCCAACUAACCCCUGUAAUAAACUGUUCCAUACUUGUUUGACCUGAAAUGGACAAUCAAAGAGUAUGACUAGCUCAAAUAUGUUUUUCUUUUUUUCCAACACUCACUCUCUUUUUGCAUUUACGCAACUUUUAAAUACUUCAACACCCACCUUCCAAAGAUACACACACACAAAUAUAUAUAUCUUCUCUGCUUCUCCCUUUCUCCCCACAAAAACAGAUGGGUUUCUUUACUGUUUUGAUGAUCCUUUU